Molecule: transfer RNA, 73 nt
Filed under: Ixodes scapularis (black-legged tick)
Lineage: Eukaryota; Metazoa; Arthropoda; Arachnida; Ixodida; Ixodidae
Rfam family: tRNA
About the family: Transfer RNA (tRNA) molecules are approximately 80 nucleotides in length. Their secondary structure includes four short double-helical elements and three loops (D, anti-codon, and T loops).
Source: Rfam by way of RNAcentral
CCCUGGUUAGCUCAGUCGGUAGAGCGCUCCCGCUGUAAUGGAGAGGUCCCGGGUUCGAUACACAGACCAGGCG